RNAcentral lists this ribosomal RNA (253 nucleotides) under uncultured bacterium. RNAcentral's name for it is "partial 16S ribosomal RNA". It matches the Rfam family "Bacterial small subunit ribosomal RNA", at positions 524 to 776 of the family's 1533-position model. The record is from RNAcentral.
GACGGGGGAUGCGAGCGUUCUCCGGAAUUACUGGGCGUAAAGCGUCUGUAGGCGGUGAUGCAAGUAACUGGUGCAAGACUCUGGCUCAACCUGAGGAAAGCCAGUGAAACUGCAUGACUAGAGGGUGGGAGAGGUAGAAGGAAUUCCUGGAGUAGCGGUGAAAUGCGUAGAGACAGGGAGGAACACCGGAGGCGAAAGCGUUCUGCUGGAACACCACUGACGCUGAGACGAGAAGGCUUGGGGAGCGAACGGG